GAGCAUUGGACAAGUAACUGAAAGGUUGCAAGAUCGAAUCCCCGACCAGACAAGCUGGUUCUUGAAUUGUGGUGUGGAGUCUAACCCAGCUGGCUACAAAACCAUCCAGCCCCACCUGGACAGAAUCCAUUCAUGCACAACACGUAAAGGGAGCAAAGACAGAUAUGUGGAGGCCUCAAAUGAUAACUUUAUGGAUCUGGUCCAAACUCUGCUAGAAGACUCAACAAAGAGGCAACAUUUUUU
This is a long non-coding RNA of Oncorhynchus gorbuscha (pink salmon), 243 nucleotides long. RefSeq lists it as uncharacterized. The record is from RefSeq and is a predicted model, not a curated record. Lineage: Eukaryota; Metazoa; Chordata; Actinopteri; Salmoniformes; Salmonidae. The transcript is spliced from 3 exons.